Long non-coding RNA from Gigantopelta aegis, 1446 nucleotides. RefSeq lists it as uncharacterized. Lineage: Eukaryota; Metazoa; Mollusca; Gastropoda; Neomphalida; Peltospiridae. The transcript has 2 exons. The record is from RefSeq and is a predicted model, not a curated record.
UAUCAUCAGUAGUUGGUCCUAAACAAACUGUUCAUCCAUCCCAUUGCAAACAUUUCACAUAAUUAGAAUUGAAUCAUACCCUAAUAUAUUCAUUAUAUAUAUGGUUUUCCUUCAAACUCCUGAUGGGUCUAUCGUUACUCUUGUUUUCAUGUUAUUUAAAUAGAGGCUUUCAACAAUGAUUUACCAUGUUAGACAAUGGACAGUAUCUUCAUCUCUCUCUAUGGUUUUGUUAAUAUAAUAGCAUUUAGACAGGAAUGAUUAAUUGUAAUGUAUAAAAACUAUGAAAUGUAACUGUUUAUAUGACUUUGUUCAACAAUUAUAUAAACAUCAGAGAGGAACUCAGUGGAUGUUUUAAAAAUGUGUUCAACCACAUGGGUAAGAAGCCUUCAUCUUGCAUAUUGUUUUUUGUACUUGAAUGAACUGCGCUUUAUCUGUACAGUUUUGUAUAGACACUGUUGACGUUUCUAACUAACACAUCAUUUUUUUUUUUAAAUUCUCACUUUUUGAAUUUUAUGUUGUGGCUGGUGUUAUGUUUUUACUUAUUUUUAUAUUAAGAACAAGCAAUUGUAUUGUGCAUAUAUUACUUUUUUUAAAUUUUAAUAUAAUUAUACAGUGUAUUCCAAUAUGUAUCCCAAUAUUUAUCCUAGUUUAAUUUGACAUUUUAAACAGAAGGCCUUGGUAUUUUAAUGUUUCAUUAAUAUAUGAGAAAAAAGUUCCUAUGCACCAAAUAAAAUGGUCCCAAACCAACUGCAAAGUUUGUCAAUAGUUGAAAUUUAACAAAAUGAUUCCGUAAACAUAGCUGCAAAGCAUCUCAUACUACAUGUACAUGUACAUACAUGUGUAUUUUACAAAUGACCAAUAAAUAAUAUCCUGAAAACUAGUUUAUUUUUUCUUCAUUACCAUCUAACACAUACCUUUUGCAAUACAUACAUAGGAACCUUUUUCCAUGAGUAUAAUAUUAUAUUGUUUUUCUUCUUUCAAUAAAGAUUUUUUUUUUUUAUCAGGAUCAUAGUUAUUGUUUGUUGUUGUUAUUGUUUUUGUUACUGAUUUUAAGUGAAAAAAAUUAUUGUCAUUAAAACAGGAGCAAUUCGAUAGAUGAUUCUUGCUUAGAUACCAUGCAAGUAAUGCAUCAUAGGCAGGCUUCAGAGUGAGCCAAGUGCCACCCGGAGAGGACAGUUCAUUUCUGGGUUCUGUAUUUUCUGUACAGUGCUUCAUGAUCCCUGUGUACAGUCUCAUUUCAAGUGCUGGACUGGAGUUGUUCAGAGAACGAGUGAUGGCAAGAUCAAACAUGAAUUGUAGUUCUCAAAAAUACAAAGAAACCAAUAUAACAUCGUUUUAUUCCUUUAUUCUAAAUCCAAGAACCUUUUGUCAAUACAUAGUACAAUUAUUGUUCGUAAUAUCAUCGAAAAUUAAAAUAAUGAAUAAUCAAAUAAAAAUAUAAAUACA